CAUGUACAGAUCUGCUGUAAGGGCUGGAAACUUGGCAUUUUCAUACAGAGCCAAAAUUUGAUGUGCUCAAAGAAAACUUUAAGUUAGAAAUGUUACUCUGGUUUUUAUGAAUUUUCUAGCAGUUGAGGGAAUGGGUUCUUGUAAAUACAGUUACUCCUAGUUUUCUUCCUGAAAACCAUAUGUAAAGUAUAUAUAUGGUCUUCAAAUGGAAGGUUUUUUUGUUUUUUUUAGCUGUGCCUCUGUGGGCUGAGUGACCGUGACCGCAAGGUGGCUCAUGGAGAACUGGUGGGUGUGCAACUGCUACUGGAAGAUGUUCUGAGUAGCUAUCAUGUGACCAUGGAGGCCCCCCAAAGACAGCAAGCCACACUGGGCAAAAAUACACAGCCAGAUUGGUCCAAAGUGCCAGGAUUCAGAAGUCAGUUCCGAAGCAGCCCAAAGACCUCUGAGCUGCUGGAGGGCCCGUGCGAUGCGGUGAUGUCCUUUGCUUUGCUGAGAUCAUUUCUGAUACUGUGGAAGC
RNAcentral lists this small RNA (517 nucleotides) under Pan troglodytes (chimpanzee). RNAcentral describes it as "processed transcript". Lineage: Eukaryota; Metazoa; Chordata; Mammalia; Primates; Hominidae. The record is from RNAcentral.